AUGUUCAGUUGUGUUCCAGUGAGCCAAGCCGCGCAGACACUUCUUGUUCGCGCUAGCACACUGAAGCCCAGCCAGCUCGGCAGGUCAGCAGGCUUUAGGUCUGGCCGGAGAGGGGAUGAGCGAGAUCUGACCGUGCCCUGCCGCCCGACCGUGCCGGGCCCGCCACUCUGCCCCCCUUCUUCUCCGGCGGCGGCGGAUCUUGCGUUCUCGGUGGCGGCGGCGGAGCCCUCGUUCUUAACGGCGGCGGAGCCUUCGUCCUCAGAAAAUGAGCAAGAAGUAUCACUGUUGCGGUUUGAUGAUUGGAAAGGAGAGUAUGUGAGAAUAGAAGAUGGUGAACAGAUUGUUGAAGAAAUCGAUCGGCAAAACGGCUGGACAAGCAAACGGGCUAAUUUUUUUGCUGAGCUCGUUGAUCUGAACAUUUUUUCGAAGGUUGGAUAUGUGCCAUCACAAUUGGCUGCGCAGAUGGUAGAUGAUGAUUGGGCUACACAGAGGCCAUUGAUUCCCAUGUGUACUGAACUUACAGUAAUAGCCGAAGAGGGACAGGUGACUGGAACUGAAACUGAAACUGCAGCAACUGUUGAUUGGAAUGUAGUUGAAUUAGAUGAGCCUACUGAUUUGGUCAUUGCACCAAUGCCUGACAUUGAGAUGGCCAAACUUUUUGGCAUUCCAGUCGAUGACAGAGAUAAGCAGGAGAGGGGCGAAUCUAGUUUGCCUGCUAAUGCUGAUGAAGAAGUAGAUGGACAGUUGAUGGAACAAGCCGCAGAUGAAGUAGAUGAUGCACAUGAUGAUGAGCUGGUGCAUGUGUAUAACAAAGAAAACCCUGUCAUUGAAGUAGGCAAGUUGUUCCCAAGCAUGAAGAAGUUUAGGAUGUGUUUCAAGACUUAUGCAGUGAAACAUGAGUUUGAUGCCAAGACUGUUUGGACUGAUAGAAAGAAGUUUUAUGCGAGGUGCAGAGGAUGUGAUGGUAGUGUGAAGCCUUGCAAGUGGUACAUAUCUGCUAGACUGCAACCUGAUGGAAGUACUGUCAGGGUUAACCAAAUCCCCAAUCAAGAUACUUGUAUUACAAGUUCACAGAGAGUAUCAACCAUGACAUCACAACUUUGGGUUGCAGAAAAGAUCACCCCAAUUUUAGCCAAAACACCAAACACUACUGCCAAGAAACUCAAAACUGAAGAAACUGCUCUCGAGGUUGAAACUGAACCUGAGCGUGUCGAGGUUCAGACUGAAGAAAGCCAUGUUGAGGUACACACCGAAGAAACUGAAACUCCUGUCAACAUUGAGACCGAAGACACUGAUCACAAGGGUGUUGGCGAGGUGUUGAAAAGACGAGUGAAGAAAACCAAGAUGAUCGGUGAACUUGUGUGUGUAGUAGAACCGAAAAAGAAGAAGUGCUAA
Molecule: ribosomal RNA, 1395 nt
Filed under: Triticum aestivum (bread wheat)
Lineage: Eukaryota; Viridiplantae; Streptophyta; Magnoliopsida; Poales; Poaceae
Description: partial small subunit ribosomal RNA
Source: RNAcentral